UUUUGCAGUUGUGGAGGGCAUUUGGCAGUCUGGGGAGCAUUACUGGGCACAAGAACACAAGGAGACCCCACAGAGCAAGGGCUCUGGUGACUGGCUGCAUAGCAGUUUUUAUAGACUCUUUCAACAGCACGCUUUUCUGCAUCGCUGAUAGCCGGAUUGCUUGCUAGGUUCUCUGAGCUUGAAUUCUGCCGCUGCUUGCAAUGACUUGGAUUUGGUCAUUAAAUCACAGACCUUUCUCUGGAAAAGCUGACAGUGCACAAAGUCCUUCCUCCAGCACUGCCUGCCUAACGACGUGGAGAAGAGCAAAGACGGAAUUGAGUGGCUUUGAUUUAAACGUGGGUCCUGGUCAUUUAAUAUACAAAAGACCUGACGUGUGGUCAUAUUCAUUAGGACUGCGAUGAUGAUGUAUGGCAGUGCAGGAAUAAUUCGCAUAUCCAUUGACGUCUCCUUGGAGUCAUGGCUAACAGAGGAAGCAGACCACCAGAAUACCUUAAGAAGCAUAUUUGGGGAAGCGGGGAGGAUGAAUUGAGACUCAUUCAUUCAUUCAUUUGAACUUCUUUUUUUAAAAAAAGGUGUUCAAGUUGCUGAUAGAAUCUACUUAAUUUUAUAACCAAGUUACUGAACAAAAUCAUUUUUUUUUUCAGGA
Long non-coding RNA from Hemicordylus capensis (graceful crag lizard), 646 nucleotides. RefSeq lists it as uncharacterized. The record is from RefSeq and is a predicted model, not a curated record. NCBI's taxonomy places the organism in Eukaryota, Metazoa, Chordata, Lepidosauria, Squamata, Cordylidae. The transcript has 3 exons.